AGGGUAGGUGAGGGGCUUAAUCUGGUUUAUUUGUUAGUUAAAACGGAAUAUUACAAAACAAAUAGUUUCCCGUUUCCAUCACAACGGACUGAUGCAGAUUGAUACAAAGAAGAAUAAAAGAGUUUGUUUAAGCCCAUCAUCAGCUGCCUCUACACCAAUCACUGCCUCAAGUUCUCCACAAUGUAGGACGCGUAAAGAUCCCUGCAACCCACCAAAUACGGGUAAAUAUAAUCUUCAUUUUCGAGAUAUAUAAUAUAAAUGAUUUUCAUACUCACAUUGAGUAUUUGAUAGCAUCAAUUGCUGUUUCAGCAGGGAGGAAGUCUUCCACUGCAACUGACUUGUUCUCAUUCUUUUUAUCUGUUUCAUUACAAGUCAUGGAAACUACUUGCUUAUUUGCAAUUGCACACCCUAUAAGCAGUUAAUACUUUGGAAAGGAUACAGUCCUCAAAGAAGCGGCGAAUUUCAGCUAGACGGUGAGGAGGGAGCUCGUUUAUGUCCUGAUAAUGGCGGAACUCAGGGUCGUCAGCGCAUACUGCAAUGAUUUUGUCGUCCCUCUCGCCCUGUCGAAUGGUUCUUCAAUGAUAAGUUCGAUGUAUUAAUAAGCUACUGAAAGAAAGAGAUAGUUACCUGAUCUAUCAUUGGCAUCAAGCCAAUGGCACGAGCACGGAGGUAAGUACCGGGAAGAACAGGUUCCUGCGUACGAAAAAGAAACAAGUAUUAACAGUUUCACAACUCAAUAUAGCAAUCUCACAGCAAAUAAGAAGUUGGAAGCUGGAACCUGCAUCAGCACCAAAACAUCGAUGGGGUCAUUGUCUUCACAAAGGGUUCGUGGAACAAAACCAUAGUUGUGUGGAUAUACAACGGACGAGUAGAGAACUCUAUCCACCUGUAAAAUCAUCAGUUGUUCCUAAAUUGGAGCAAAGCAUAAAACCUGACUUUAUCAAGAAUUAAGCGACACGAGAGGACAUUGUUGUGUGGUAGAUUUCCUAUUCUAGUAGAUCAAGGUUUGUUCUAGCUAGUCUAUAUGCACCUCUUUGUUGCUAUUCUANGAACCUUAUAAAUAAUACUCCUUCCGUCCACCAAAGGUAUGCCACAAUUUCCUUUUUCGUCCGUCCACAAAUAAAUAUGUCACAUCCAUUUUUAGUAGUAGGGUCCACAUCAUUCCACUCACAUUUAAAGUGAGACCCUUACUCCACUACUAACUUCACUCACAUUUUAUUAAAACUUGUGCCGAAAGUAAAGUGACAUAUCUUUGGUGGACGGAUGGAGUACUAAUUUGGGUGCAGAUCAACCCGAUUGUACCCAAAUUUUUGUGAUAUAUAAAUAUACACACAUAUAGUUUAUAAGCUAUAAAAUCAUAGUAAUUUAUAAGCUAUAAAAUCACUAUCAAAUUGUCGUCUAAAAAAAACAGUACAAUAUUGCUUAUCCCUGAAUUAUACUAAAUUGUUAUUUCAUAAUUAUGGUGAAAUUAUUUUUAUCAAAUGGCAUUAUGAUUUUUAGUAAUUGAAUUAAAUUUGAGUUUCAUGUUUUAGUAGGCUCGUAAUGCGCUAUAUAAUAGAGAAAUGAGCCAAAAUUGGAGAAAGUGAGGGUAGGUGAGGGGCUUAAUCUGGUUUAAUUUGUUAGUUAAAACGGAAUAAUUACAAAACAAAUAGUUUACCCGUUUCCAUCACAACGGACUGAUGCAGAUAUUAGCACAUGAUACAAAGAAGAAUAAAAGAGUUUGUUUAAGCCCAUCAUCAGCUGCCUCUACACCAAUCACUGCCUCAAGUUCUCCACAAUGUAGGACGCGUAAAGAUCCC
This 1799-nucleotide long non-coding RNA is filed under the name Salvia miltiorrhiza (redroot sage). RNAcentral's name for it is "long non-coding RNA (SMIL_LNC008231)". The record is from RNAcentral. Lineage: Eukaryota; Viridiplantae; Streptophyta; Magnoliopsida; Lamiales; Lamiaceae.